This 238-nucleotide ribosomal RNA is filed under the name uncultured bacterium. RNAcentral describes it as "partial 16S ribosomal RNA". It matches the Rfam family "Bacterial small subunit ribosomal RNA", at positions 96 to 334 of the family's 1533-position model. The record is from RNAcentral.
CGGCGGACGGGUGAGUAACGCGUGGAUAACCUGCCUCACACAGGGGAGUAACAGUUAGAAAUGACUGCUAAUACCGCAUAAGCGCACGGUACCGCAUGGUACAGUGUGAAAAACUCCGGUGGUGUGAGGUGGAUCCGCGUCUGAUUAGGUAGUUGGUGAGGUAACGGCCCACCAAGCCGACGAUCAGUAGCCGACCUGAGAGGGUGACCGGCCACAUUGGGACUGAGACACGGCCCAA